Molecule: ribosomal RNA, 493 nt
Filed under: uncultured bacterium
Lineage: Bacteria
Description: partial 16S ribosomal RNA
Rfam family: Bacterial small subunit ribosomal RNA
Source: RNAcentral
ACGAACGCUGGCGGCGUGCUUCACACAUGCAAGUCGAACGGUGAAGCGCCUUCCUUUUUGGUGGGUGUGGAUGAGUGGCGAACGGGUGAGUAACACGUGAGUAACCUGCCCCCUUCUUCUGGAUAACCGCAUGAAAGUGUGGCUAAUACGGGAUAUUCUGGGUCUGUCGCAUGAUGGGUCUGGGAAAGAUAUUGUUUCGGUGGGGGAUGGGCUCGCGGCCUAUCAGCUUGUUGGUGGGGUGAUGGCCUACCAAGGCGGUGACGGGUAGCCGGCCUGAGAGGGUGGACGGUCACACUGGGACUGAGACACGGCCCAGACUCCUACGGGAGGCAGCAGCGGGGAAUAUUGCACAAUGGGCGCAAGCCUGAUGCAGCGACGCCGCGUGAGGGAUGGAGGCCUUCGGGUUGUGAACCUCUUUCGCCAGUGAAGCAGGCCUGCCUCGUUUGUGGGUGGGUUGACGGUAGCUGGAUAAGAAGCGCCGGCUAACUACGUG